This 32-nucleotide non-coding RNA is filed under the name Geobacter sulfurreducens KN400. The record is from RNAcentral. Lineage: Bacteria; Pseudomonadati; Thermodesulfobacteriota; Desulfuromonadia; Geobacterales; Geobacteraceae.
CGUCAAUUGAAUCAGUCGCGUUUGAAAAGGAC